GGCUGGUCUGAAGGUAGUGAGUUAUCUCAAUUGAUUGUUCACGUCAGUUAUAGAUCAAACUCCUGUUCUUCUCUUUUUCCCCCUUCUCACUAUUGCACUUGACUAGACAAAA
Molecule: Y RNA, 112 nt
Filed under: Microcebus murinus (gray mouse lemur)
Lineage: Eukaryota; Metazoa; Chordata; Mammalia; Primates; Cheirogaleidae
Description: Y RNA (ENSMICG00000044644.1)
Rfam family: Y RNA
About the family: Y RNAs are components of the Ro ribonucleoprotein particle (Ro RNP), in association with Ro60 and La proteins. The Y RNAs and Ro60 and La proteins are well conserved, but the function of the Ro RNP is not known. In humans the RNA component can be one of four small RNAs -- hY1, hY3, hY4 and hY5.
Source: Rfam by way of RNAcentral